RNAcentral lists this long non-coding RNA (211 nucleotides) under Mytilus galloprovincialis (Mediterranean mussel). The record is from RNAcentral. Lineage: Eukaryota; Metazoa; Mollusca; Bivalvia; Mytilida; Mytilidae.
GACAAACAGAAAAACAAUAGUACACACGACACAACAUAGAAAACUAAAGAAUAAACAACACGAACCCCACCAAAAACUAGGGGUGAUCUCAGGUGCUCCGGAAGGGUAAGCAGAUCCUGCUCCACAUGUGGCACCCGUCGUGUUGCUUAUGCGAUUACCAAUCCGGUAAAUAGUCUAAUUCGGUAGGUCAUAUUCAUGAAAGGGAAGGGGA